ACAUCCAAAGUAAGAGGAUUAUUAAUUGCAGAAUAUUUCAACAACUUUCUACCUCCAAAAUGACUAAGACUAAACAUCUUAUGAAGGUUCAAGAUAAAAAUUUAAUAUGAAGUGAGAAAAAAUAUACUCUUGACAGGUUUUUUACACUAAUGACGUAAAAAUGUAUACAUAUCGUUGAUCCGUUCUGUUAUAUGUACAUAUGUAUUGAAUGUGAAAUAUUGUGGUUCGAGAGCGUUCGUAACACUUUUUGAGGAUCGAUAGACAAGCUCUUGAAAAGUAAAAGAUGUUAGUACAAAUAUUAAAUGCUAAAGAUAUUAUAUACUUUUUCAAUAUAUUUCAUAUAGACUAAUGGUAA
This is a long non-coding RNA of Chelonus insularis, 355 nucleotides long. RefSeq lists it as uncharacterized. The transcript is spliced from 2 exons. Lineage: Eukaryota; Metazoa; Arthropoda; Insecta; Hymenoptera; Braconidae. The record is from RefSeq and is a predicted model, not a curated record.